UAGGGAAUCUUCCGCAAUGGACGAAAGUCUGACGGAGCAACGCCGCGUGAGUGAAGAAGGAUUUCGGUUCGUAAAACUCUGUUGUUAGGGAAGAAAAAAUGUAUAGUAACUAUAUACAAAAGAGACGGUACCUAACCAGAAAGCCACGGCUAACUACGUGCCAGCAGCCGCGGUAAUACGUAGGUGGCAAGCGUUGUCCGGAAUUAUUGGGCGUAAAGCGCGCGCAGGUGGUUUAGAAAGUCUGAUGUGAAAGCCACGGCUCAACCGUUGAGGGUCAUUGGAAACUAAUAAACUUGAGUGCAGGAGAGAAAAGUGGAAUUCCUAGUGUAGCGGUGAAAUGCGUAGAGAUUAGGAGGAACACCGGUGGCGAAAGCGGCUUUUUGGCCUGCAACUGACACUGAGGCGCGAAAGCGUGGGGAGCAAACAGG
Molecule: ribosomal RNA, 428 nt
Filed under: Verrucomicrobiota bacterium
Lineage: Bacteria; Pseudomonadati; Verrucomicrobiota
Description: Verrucomicrobia bacterium partial 16S ribosomal RNA
Rfam family: Bacterial small subunit ribosomal RNA
Source: RNAcentral